GCACGCCCAAGCGUCACGAGCGGGGGGUGCCUGCUUACCGCAGGGAGGUGUCACGUGCAGGCGGGCAGAGAGACACCGUGUUCCCUUUCACUGCGAGAAGAAAACGUCCACCAGGGUAAUCUCCUAAAUCUCCAAAGGGAGUAUGUGACUCUGCAAGUUAGGAGUCUGUGCUGGUGAUGUGAAGGUCGCUGGUUCAAACAAGGUCCUCAGCUUUUCCGAGGACAGAAGCAAAUGCUUAACAAAUUAAAUGUAAAGACACAUUGAGAGCUACAGAUUAGACAUUGUCUACCUAGGAUUUUCAGUGACGAAAUCCCAGCCAGGCCAAACUGGGAAAGUACCCCAAGCCAGUGGGUGAUUAUGCAACCUGAGAAGCCAGCGGAUCGAAUCGAUGCAGGCAAUCUGUGCUGCAGAUCGGAGAACUUUCUCAAUGGGCGGAUGGAUGUAAUGGCAUGAGGAAUUCUUGGUUCUGACCCAAGUGAAACAGCCCAAACCAGUCUCUUCAGGCUGUUUUCAUUUCUCCACCACCUACCCCAGAAAUGCAAAGGCGUUAUCUUCUCACUUGAGAUGGGAGGGAGCACAGAAACCAUCAGCUGUAAAGAUGGUAGUGUCUAUUUUCACAAGGAAUUCACCAUUCUCCAUUUGCGGCAUUUCUCCUCCCACCUCCUCCUCAGGGAGCCAUCCAGGAGGCAUCCUAGACUGAUUGCUGAACCACCUCAACAGGCUCCGUUCGACGGGGAGGAGCAGCGGCUCCACUUUGAGCUCCUCACCCUGUCUCUAAGGCUGUGCUCAGACACACUGCAGAGGAAACUCUGCAUUUCUGCCGCUUGUAUCCAUGAUCUCAUUCUUUCGGUCAUUAACUGUAAUACUGUAAUAAAUUUGCAAUAAUUUUACACCCAAAACAAUAUAUGUGUGUGAUUAUCAUGUAAACCACCACAUGCAAAAAAGUUAACCAAGUUUUCAAAGUAAUUCAAAAAUAUACAGCGCCUGACCAAAAAAAAAGCCGCAUAGUUCAAUAUUUUGUUGGACCGCCUUUAGCAUUGUUUGUGGUGCACAUUCGUCAAUGCAUUGUUUCCACGUGCUUAUGCAGCAUCUCCAAAAAAAAAAAAUCAUCCAGAUUUGCAUUAAUUUCUCAUCAAGAUCUUGUAUUGAGCUGAACCACUCCGUAAAGCCUUCUUCAGCACAUCUCAAAGACUUUCAAUGGGUUAUGGUCAAGACUCCGUGGUGCCCAGUUCACGUGUGAAAAUGAUUCCUUGCGCUCCCUAAACCACUCUUUAGCAGGUGGAGCCCUAUGAAUCUUGGCGUUAUCGUCCCGGAAUAUGUCCGUGCCUUUAGGUAAGAAAAAACCCAUUGAUGGGAUAAGCUGGCCAUUCAAUGGAUUCCGGUAUUCAGCUUAACGUUGCUAAGCUUUAAUAAAGAUGCUAUCAUUGGAUUUUAAGUACCUGCUGAUUUAAAUUCAAGCAGUGGCUAUUUUAUGGCCAGGCCAUGUAUUCCAUAAAUUGCAGUGAUACAGCAUUGUUGUGUUUUUGGUUCCCGCAGUGCAUGAUUUUGUUGCUCUUUUGCAGUGUUGUAUGACUUUAUUAUUUGCUAUUGUAUACUGUGUUGUACAAUGGAAUGCUAACAUUUCUGAUGCAUAAAAGGGCUUUCUUGAA
Molecule: long non-coding RNA, 1649 nt
Organism: Paramormyrops kingsleyae
Lineage: Eukaryota; Metazoa; Chordata; Actinopteri; Osteoglossiformes; Mormyridae
Source: RefSeq, a predicted model, not a curated record